Hippocampus zosterae (dwarf seahorse) is the source of this 507-nucleotide long non-coding RNA. RefSeq lists it as uncharacterized. The transcript has 3 exons. The record is from RefSeq and is a predicted model, not a curated record. NCBI's taxonomy places the organism in Eukaryota, Metazoa, Chordata, Actinopteri, Syngnathiformes, Syngnathidae.
CGGUGAAGCAAUCUGCCCUGGAUUUCUGGAGGUGUGGUUGGAGGCGGAAUGUUUUUCUUAUAAAAGCGUAGCCCGCAGUCAGCAGGUGAUCAAGCGAGGCUCUCAACUCCAGCGCACGAGUGUCGAUCGAGAUUUUGACAAGCAGAAGACCAAUCAAGGCUCAUCUCAGUGACGAUGCCGUACGGUCCGAACAGGCCUUGCGCUCCUCCUCCGCGGGUGUGCUAUCCCCCACCCCCGGCUUGCGGCCCCUACGGAGGCUACAGGCCGGGCUACGGCUACGGCCACGGCUACGGCUACGGGCAUCACAAUGGCUACGGAUACGGCUACCGCGGAUACGGGCACGGCCACCACGGCUACGGCUACGGCCACAGAGGAUGUUCCAUACAAUAGCAUCUAUGACCUUGAAAUGUACUUGUCGACGUACGCAGCAUGUAUAUUCUCAGCUCCACAACAAUGGUUAUAACAAUCAGUAGUUGCAAUAAAACUGGAAUCUGAAAAGAAAAAAAA